This 175-nucleotide ribosomal RNA is filed under the name Ramularia diervillae. RNAcentral describes it as "partial 18S ribosomal RNA". It matches the Rfam family "Eukaryotic small subunit ribosomal RNA", at positions 1659 to 1831 of the family's 1831-position model. The record is from RNAcentral. Lineage: Eukaryota; Fungi; Ascomycota; Dothideomycetes; Mycosphaerellales; Mycosphaerellaceae.
UUUGUACACACCGUCCGUCGCUACUACCGAUUGAAUGGCUCAGUGAGGCCUUCGGACUGGCUCAGGGAGGUCGGCAACGACCACCCAGAGCCGGAAAGUUGGUCAAACUCGGUCAUUUAGAGGAAGUAAAAGUCGUAACAAGGUCUCCGUAGGUGAACCUGCGGAGGGAUCAUUA